CCCUUAGAUGUUCUGGGCUGCACGCGUGCUACACUGAUUACUUCAACAAGUGUUUUAACUGGAGAGUUCGCGUAAUCCUGAAAUGUUAUCGUGAUGGGAGUAGAGUAUUGUAUUUGUUAAUCUUUAACGAGGACUUCCUAGUAAGUGUAGGUUUAUCUGUUUUUUUUUUUACGUCCCUGCCCUUUGUACACACCGCCCGUCGCUCCUACCGAUUGAUUGAUCCGGUGAAUUACAUAGAAUUUUGCGUUUUACAUGACGGAAGAUGAAGUGUUUUAAACCUUAUCAUUUAGAGGAAGGAGAAGUCGUGACA
Molecule: ribosomal RNA, 310 nt
Filed under: uncultured eukaryote
Lineage: Eukaryota
Description: partial 18S ribosomal RNA
Rfam family: Eukaryotic small subunit ribosomal RNA
Source: RNAcentral